AUGCCUAUGAUGAGAUCUAUACCAAAAAUACCAUCUUUCGGGACUGAAUGGCUUGUUAAUAGCCUUGCUGUCAUUCUGCAAUUCUGAGGCAU
Molecule: small nucleolar RNA, 92 nt
Organism: Coffea eugenioides
Lineage: Eukaryota; Viridiplantae; Streptophyta; Magnoliopsida; Gentianales; Rubiaceae
Product: small nucleolar RNA SNORD96 family
Exons: 1
Source: RefSeq, a predicted model, not a curated record